UGGGGAAUUUUGGACAAUGGGCGCAAGCCUGAUCCAGCCAUGCCGCGUGCGGGAAGAAGGCCUUCGGGUUGUAAACCGCUUUUGUCAGGGAAGAAAUCUUCUGAGUUAAUACCUCGGGAGGAUGACGGUACCUGAAGAAUAAGCACCGGCUAACUACGUGCCAGCAGCCGCGGUAAUACGUGGGGUGCAAGCGUUAAUCGGAAUUACUGGGCGUAAAGCGUGCGCAGGCGGUUUUGUAAGACAGAGGUGAAAUCCCCGGGCUCAACCUGGGAACUGCCUUUGUGACUGCAAGGCUUGAGUGCGGCAGAGGGGGGAUGGAAUUCCGCGUGUAGCAGUGAAAUGCGUAGAUAUGCGGAGGAACACCGAUGGCGAAGGCAAUCCCCUGGGCCUGCACUGACGCUCAUGCACGAAAGCGUGGGGAGCAAAC
RNAcentral lists this ribosomal RNA (427 nucleotides) under uncultured bacterium. RNAcentral describes it as "partial 16S ribosomal RNA". It matches the Rfam family "Bacterial small subunit ribosomal RNA", at positions 355 to 773 of the family's 1533-position model. The record is from RNAcentral.